UACGUAGGGGGCAAGCGUUAUCCGGAUUUACUGGGUGUAAAGGGAGCGUAGACGGCAAUACAAGUCGGAAGUGAAAUACCCGGGCUCAACCUGGGAACUGCUUUGGAAACUGUAUGGCUGGAGUGCUGGAGAGGUAAGCGGGAUUCCUAGUGUAGCGGUGAAAUGCGUAGAUAUUAGGAGGAACACCAGUGGCGAAGGCGGCUUACUGGACAGUAACUGACGUUGAGGCUCGAAAGCGUGGGGAGCAAACAGG
RNAcentral lists this ribosomal RNA (253 nucleotides) under uncultured bacterium. RNAcentral describes it as "partial 16S ribosomal RNA". It matches the Rfam family "Bacterial small subunit ribosomal RNA", at positions 524 to 776 of the family's 1533-position model. The record is from RNAcentral.